CAGCCGCCGCGGUAAUACCGGCGGCCCGAGUGGCGGUCACUAUUAUUGGGCUUAAAGCGUCCGUAGCCGGGUUGGGAAGUCCUCCGGGAAAUCUGGCCGCUUAACGGUCAGAAUGCCGGAGGAUACUCCCAGCCUAGGGAGCGGGAGAGGCCGAGGGGAUUCCCGGGGUAGGGGGGAAAUCCUAUAAUCCCGGGAGGACCACCUGUGGCGAAGGCGCUCGGCUGGGACGCGUCCGACGGUGAGGGACGAAGGCCAGGGGAGCAAACCGGAUUAGAUACCCGGGUAGUCCUGGCUGUAAACGAUGCGGACUUUGUGUCGGACAAGCUAUGAGCUUGUCCGGUGCCGGAGGGAAACCGUUAAGUCCGCCGCCUGGGGAGUACGGCCGCAAGGCUGAAACUUAAAGGAAUUGGCGGG
This 414-nucleotide ribosomal RNA is filed under the name uncultured microorganism. RNAcentral describes it as "bacterial SSU rRNA". It matches the Rfam family "Archaeal small subunit ribosomal RNA", at positions 459 to 872 of the family's 1478-position model. The record is from RNAcentral.